ACCGCCGUGGAGGGAUUUGGCGUCAGAUUGCCCUUUCGCAACGACCAAUCGUGUCGUGGAACCACUAUACUUUUAUAUUAGAAUGGAAUUGUUAUCAUUUUCUUUAUUGUUAGCUUUCGAGAAUUUGAGUACGAGUAAGAAUUGACAAACAACGGUUGUUGUUGUUUUUUGUCAGUAUCUACUUGAACUAAAUAUUCUUUCCGCGAAGUGUAAUAGAAGCGUGGGCGACUCCAGGUGCGAGCCGAUUACAUGCGGAGGUCUUAGGGCAUCUGAUUAGAUGUCCCAGGUUGUUUGACUAUAUAUAUACAGAGGCAGCGGAAGACUUGAACGGAGACUCCUGACCAGUGGUUCCUUUCCUUACUUCCCUGUUGGUCCAGUCCUAAAACAUGAGUCCUUGCGUCAUCAUCGCCCUUCUGGUGGCGGGAAUCGGCAGCGUCAUUGGAAUGGAGCUGUGCGCCAUAGACUGCACACACGGACACAGUUUCACUGCAGAUCCCGUCAACUGCAAAAACUAUUAUAUUUGCUAUGAUUUAUAUGACCAUAGUGAAUAUCCCUUCACUUGCGACGGCAACCAGUUCUUCGACAUUGUAUCCUACUCCUGUAAAGAUUCUGCGUACACUUGCACUCCUGAAUGUGAAAAAUGUUCUUUCGAUUGUGCCGAACCUGUCCUGGAUAAAAGAGCGAGCACACUCGACUGUGGUGUUUACUUUACAUGCAGCACAAGUGAGUGGACCACAUGUUCCCCUGAUGCGCCAUAUUUCAAUGGUGACGUUUGUCAGGUAGAGAAAAGCAACUGCUGCACUUGCAAGUCAUACUGCACUCGGGAUGAUGCGAUCAAUCACGUCCUUGUCCCAGACUUUCACGACUGUACCAGAUAUUACCUCUGUAUGGUGGCGGGGAUCCCGGACGAGACUACCCACGGCGAGUGUCCAAGCGGUAGUAAUUUCGAUCCUGACAUGCAUGAUUGUGCCGAAAAUGGCCCUUGCAUACAGCCUUGCGCCUGAACACAGAAGCGCCUGCAAGGAGCUCCCCUGCGUGCUGAGUAGACGACAUGCCUCAACAUGAUCAUGCUGCGGUACCUACUCGUGGCCAACUCUCUCCAGUGGGCCUUGUUCAGCAGAGAUGAGAUUGGCUCAAACUUUAUGAAAUCGAUAAAUAUAGUUUAAAAGAAAUAUU
Eriocheir sinensis (Chinese mitten crab) is the source of this 1176-nucleotide long non-coding RNA. RefSeq lists it as uncharacterized. The transcript has 2 exons. NCBI's taxonomy places the organism in Eukaryota, Metazoa, Arthropoda, Malacostraca, Decapoda, Varunidae. The record is from RefSeq and is a predicted model, not a curated record.